UCAAUAAGCGGAGGAAAAGAAACCAACUGGGAUUGCCUUAGUAACGGCGAGUGAAGCGGCAAUAGCUCAAAUUUGAAAGCUGGCGUCUUUGGCGUCCGCGUUGUAAUUUGUAGAGGAUGCUUCGGCGAGGGCUCCGGUCUAAGUUCCCUGGAACGGGACGUCAUAGAGGGUGAGAAUCCCGUAUGUGAUCGGUUGCCUAAGCCAUGUGAAGCUCCUUCGACGAGUCGAGUUGUUUGGGAAUGCAGCUCUAAAUGGGAGGUAAAUUUCUUCUAAAGCUAAAUACCGGCCAGAGACCGAUAGCGCACAAGUAGAGUGAUCGAAAGAUGAAAAGCACUUUGGAAAGAGAGUUAAAAAGUACGUGAAAUUGUUGAAAGGGAAGCGCUUGCAACCAGACUCGUCCGCAGUUGCUCAGCCGGUCUCUUGACCGGCGUACUCUUCUGCGGCCGGGCCAGCAUCAGUUCGGGCGGCCGGAUAAAGGCCUCGGGAAUGUAGCACCCUUCGGGGUGUGUUAUAGCCCGGGGUGGAAUGCGGCCAGCCUGGACUGAGGAUCUCGCUUCGGCUAGGAUGCUGGCGUAAUGGUUGUAAGCGGCCCGUCUUGAAACACGGACCAAGGAGUCUAACAUCUAUGCGAGUGUUUGGGUGUCAAACCCAUGCGCGUAAUGAAAGUGAACGGAGGUGGGAACCCUCACGGGUGCACCAUCGACCGAUCCUGAUGUCUUCGGAUGGAUUUGAGUAUGAGCAUAGCUGUUGGGACCCGAAAGAUGGUGAACUAUGCCUGAAUAGGGUGAAGCCAGAGGAAACUCUGGUGGAGGCUCGCAGCGGUUCUGACGUGCAAAUCGAUCGUCAAAUUUGGGUAUAGGGGCGAAAG
RNAcentral lists this ribosomal RNA (868 nucleotides) under Pseudofusicoccum adansoniae. RNAcentral describes it as "partial large subunit ribosomal RNA". It matches the Rfam family "Eukaryotic large subunit ribosomal RNA", at positions 43 to 929 of the family's 3401-position model. Lineage: Eukaryota; Fungi; Ascomycota; Dothideomycetes; Botryosphaeriales; Botryosphaeriaceae. The record is from RNAcentral.